RNAcentral lists this ribosomal RNA (114 nucleotides) under Pteropus alecto (black flying fox). The record is from RNAcentral. Lineage: Eukaryota; Metazoa; Chordata; Mammalia; Chiroptera; Pteropodidae.
GCAAAUCAAUAGGCUGAUCUUAAAAUGACUGACAUGUUCUCAGAAGCUCAGCAGGGUCAGGCCUGGUUAGUACUUAGAUGGGAGACCACCUUGGAAUAUCAGCUGUUGUAGGCU